RNAcentral lists this ribosomal RNA (208 nucleotides) under uncultured bacterium. Its description in RNAcentral is "partial 16S ribosomal RNA". It matches the Rfam family "Bacterial small subunit ribosomal RNA", at positions 568 to 774 of the family's 1533-position model. The record is from RNAcentral.
CGCGUAGGCGGUUUGAUAAGUGGGAUGUGAAAGCCCUGGGCUCAACCUGGGAACUGCAUUCCAAACUGUCAGGCUAGAGUAUGGUAGAGGGAGGUAGAAUUUCCUGUGUAGCGGUGAAAUGCGUAGAUAUAGGAAGGAAUACCGGUGGCGAAGGCGGCCUCCUGGACCAAUACUGACGCUGAGGUGCGAAAGCCGUGGGGAGCAAACA